This 459-nucleotide ribosomal RNA is filed under the name uncultured bacterium. Its description in RNAcentral is "partial 16S ribosomal RNA". It matches the Rfam family "Bacterial small subunit ribosomal RNA", at positions 338 to 795 of the family's 1533-position model. The record is from RNAcentral.
CCUACGGGUGGCAGCAGUGAGGAAUAUUGGUCAAUGGCCGGAAGGCUGAACCAGCCAAGCCGCGUGAGGGAGGAAGGCGCAGAGCGUCGCAGACCUCUUUUGCCGGGGGACAAAAGGCCGGACUCGUCCGGUCCUGAGGGUACCCGGAGAAAAAGCAUCGGCUAACUCCGUGCCAGCAGCCGUGGUAAUACGGAGGAUGCGAGCGUUAUCCGGAUUUAUUGGGUUUAAAGGGUGCGCAGGCGGUCUGUUAAGUCAGCGGUCAAAGCCCGGGGCUCAACCCCGGCCCGCCGUUGAAACUGGCAGUCUCGAGUUGGAGAGAAGUAUGCGGAAUGCGCGGUGUAGCGGUGAAAUGCAUAGAUAUCGCGCAGAACUCCGAUUGCGAAGGCAGCAUGCCGGCUCCACACUGACGCUGAGGCACGAAAGCGUGGGUAUCGAACAGGAUUAGAUACCCCAGUAGUC